GAUGAACGCUGGCGGCGUGCCUAAUACAUGCAAGUCGAGCGAACAGACGAGGAGCUUGCUCCUCUGACGUUAGCGGCGGACGGGUGAGUAACACGUGGAUAACCUACCUAUAAGACUGGGAUAACUUCGGGAAACCGGAGCUAAUACCGGAUAAUAUAUUGAACCGCAUGGUUCAAUAGUGAAAGACGGUUUUGCUGUCACUUAUAGAUGGAUCCGCGCCGCAUUAGCUAGUUGGUAAGGUAACGGCUUACCAAGGCGACGAUGCGUAGCCGACCUGAGAGGGGGAUCGGCCACACUGGAACUGAGACACGGUCCAGACUCCUACGGGAGGCAGCAGUAGGGAAUCUUCCGCAAUGGGCGAAAGCCUGACGGAGCAACGCCGCGUGAGUGAUGAAGGGCUUCGGAUCGUAAAACUCUGUUAUUAGGGAAGAACAAAUGUGUAAGUAACUAUGCACGUCUUGACGGUACCGAAGCAGAAAGCCACGGCUAACUACGU
RNAcentral lists this ribosomal RNA (496 nucleotides) under uncultured bacterium. RNAcentral's name for it is "partial 16S ribosomal RNA". It matches the Rfam family "Bacterial small subunit ribosomal RNA", at positions 28 to 506 of the family's 1533-position model. The record is from RNAcentral.